Molecule: long non-coding RNA, 801 nt
Filed under: Homo sapiens (human)
Lineage: Eukaryota; Metazoa; Chordata; Mammalia; Primates; Hominidae
Description: HSALNT0073746
Source: RNAcentral
CAUCCUGGAUACCACAUUACCUUUAGUCGUCAUUUGUCCUAAGGAUCCUUUUGGCUGUGACAGUUUUUCAGACUUUGCUUUUGCUGGCCUUGAAAGUUUCAAAGAGUACUCAUCAGAAAUAUCUGUAGAAUUUCAUUAGAAAUACAAAUCUCAGUGAUAUAACACUGGCCUGAGGACCUGGGUAGAAGUGAACCUCAAGAAAGCAAACCCUGCCUUUCCUCUCUGCCUCAUAUUUAUGAAGGCUGAUCAUUCUGCAGUGAAAAUCUGGAUGCACCCAGAAUCCACCACUUCCCAUCUCUUCUGCUGCUACCAUUCUGGUCCAAGCCACCAUCAUCACCUGCCCUGGAUUAUUACAAUAGACUCCAAAUUGGUCUGUUAACCCAAUGGCCAGGUGAUCCUUUUGAAUUUCAAGUUGGAUUAUGUCACUAGUCUGUGCUCUCUUUCCCUCUCUCUCUCAACUCUUCAUGUCAUUACAAGUACACAUCAAAGUCCUUACAGUGGUCUCCAAGGCCCUGCACAGUCCAUGACCCUUUUUCCCUUACUUUCCUGAUGUCACCUCCACCUCCACUUCUCGCGGUUUACUUAACUCAGCCUCUCAAGCCUCUUCAGGAUACCCCACACAUGCCAAGUCUCUUCCUACUGUAGAUCCUUUGGACCAGCAGUUCCCUCUUCCUGUGACAUCUUCUCCCCUCUCCCAUACAAUUUUCAUCAUUUAUUCCUUUAUCUCUUUCCAAUCUUUGGCUGCCCUAUUUAGAACUGCAACUCUUCCUCUACCCCAGUAGUGCUGACACCCCUUAACCU